UACAGAGACUGCAAGCGUUAUUCGGAUUCACUGGGCGUAAAGGGUGCGCAGGCGGCCGUGUGUGUGAGGCGUGAAAGCCCGGGGCUUAACCCCGGAAUUGCACCUCAAACUACAUGGCUAGAGCAUUGGAGAGGGUAGCGGAAUUCACGGUGUAGCAGUGAAAUGCGUAGAUAUCGUGAGGAACACCAGAGGCGAAGGCGGCUACCUGGACAAUUGCUGACGCUCAGGCAC
RNAcentral lists this ribosomal RNA (231 nucleotides) under uncultured bacterium. RNAcentral describes it as "partial 16S ribosomal RNA". It matches the Rfam family "Bacterial small subunit ribosomal RNA", at positions 524 to 754 of the family's 1533-position model. The record is from RNAcentral.